CAGCCAGACUCCUACGGGAGGCAGCAGUGGGGAAUAUUGCACAAUGGGCGAAAGCCUGAUGCAGCGACGCCGCGUGAAGGAUGAAGUAUUUCGGUAUGUAAACUUCUAUCAGCAGGGAAGAAAAUGACGGUACCUGACUAAGAAGCCCCGGCUAACUACGUGCCAGCAGCCGCGGUAAUACGUAGGGGGCAAGCGUUAUCCGGAUUUACUGGGUGUAAAGGGAGCGUAGACGGCGAUGCAAGCCAGAUGUGAAAGCCCGGGGCUCAACCCCGGGACUGCAUUUGGAACUGUGUGGCUGGAGUGUCGGAGAGGCAAGUGGAAUUCCUAGUGUAGCGGUGAAAUGCGUAGAUAUUAGGAGGAACACCAGUGGCGAAGGCGGCCUGCUGGACGACAACUGACGGUGAGGCGCGAAAGCGUGGGGAGCAAACAGGAUUAGAUACCCUUGUAC
Molecule: ribosomal RNA, 448 nt
Filed under: uncultured bacterium
Lineage: Bacteria
Description: bacterial SSU rRNA
Rfam family: Bacterial small subunit ribosomal RNA
Source: RNAcentral